UACUAAGGGAAAAAGGUAAAUAAUUCACAUACAGUCUGUGAGUUUUAUUUGAUACUCUAUCCAGUUACUGAAGUGUGUUCCAAAAAGACAAGAAAAAGAAAAAAAGAAAAAGUUAUCAGAAAGGUGGGGUGGAGUGGCUCUGCUUCCAACUCAUUCUCUUUUUAUGCACACAUCUGACUUCUCCAGUCUCAUCAGACACACAUGUAUUCUAUUACAGGCCAUCAGUAUCAGGGUGUGAAGCACCAGAGGAGAUUCAGAAGUCAGGAGGAAUUUUUUCAUGGUGGCUGGGCCUCCCUGGACCAUCUGCACAGGUACUGGUGGAGCUGCUGUUUCUGGAGCUGAAGAGAUGUGUGGACGUGGCACAUGGUGUAGGGUUGGAUUUGCCAUCAAGACCCAUCCCUCCAUGGUGUACGUUGGGUUCUGGUAACCCUGUGCCUGGGGCAUCUCCAUUAUGAAGAAAGGAUGGCAGACUUGGGGCAGUUCAGCCUGGAGAAGAGAGGACUGAAGGAUGUACCUGGGGGAGGAGAUGGUGAAGAAAAACUGAUUGCUUAGCAUCAGCUGAAUGGCUGCAUGCCUGCCCAGCCUCACCAGCAGUGAUGGCAUUGUGUUUGGGGGGUUGCAAUGACACGCACUGUUGGAUGUGCUGUAUGAAAACCCAGCGCCAUCGCACACAGCUGGGAUUGAGGGCAGCAGUGCAGACACGUGCGCCCGUCCCAGGCUGCAGAAGGCCAUGCAGCACGAGGCACAGCCAGCACCUGAGCAGCUGAUCUAUCAGUGAACACACGGAGCUUCCAAUGGCUCUGCGACAGACGGUGGGGCAACGUACGAACUGCAGAGAAGCUCAUGCUUAAGAAUGAAAGACUGAAGGUUUGAUUUUCCUUCUUUCCUCCAGCAGACUCAUCAAAAGUUUAUAUGCAGAAUACUGAACAUCAAAAGGCACAGUACCAAUUCUAGAGGAAAAUAUUCUCAAUGUGAACAUUGAGCUUGAUUUAACCUUAUAAAUGACCUUGGAAAGUAGAACUAUGAAUAGCAGAAGUUUCCACUAACUCAGCUACUGUUUCCAUCUCUAGCAGUGUAGAAAGGCUGGCUGCUCUCCUCCUACCUUACUUAUGGCAGAUUGGAGGUCUGUGUAGCACCGAAACAAAGUUAUCACAAAAUUAGGAAAUACAGAACCUCACUCCUGAAGAAGUGAAAAGCACCUUGUAUUUCAUUUUCAAUCACUUUUUGUUAUACAAGAAUUCAUUCCCUUUUUUCAAUCCCAUUUUGUUAUAAAUACAUUAUAACUGUACUUCAUUAAUGCUCCAUAGGAAAAGCUGGCCUGACCUACUAACUGCUUCAGCUGCAACCUCUAAGCUGGUUUCCCAGAAGUUUCCACAAGAUGAGGUGCUAAAAAGGUUCUGUAGCUGCUGGCACAUUUCACUUGCUUUCUGUCCAACAGUCUCUUCUGAAAGUAGAACAUUUAUGCUAUCCAGGAGAUGGCAGUGAUGCAGUAAGGUGGGACAAGAUGACAGAUCUUUCUUUAGAUUAAAGCAGCCAGUGAAGGACAGGGUGCUAGGUGUCAUCUUUCGAAGGCAAGUGAAACAGGAUUCCAGCUGAAAGGGUCAAUUUAUCUGCUUAAAUAAGCCAACAACUCUUUUCUCUCCACUGCCCAUGAGUUUUCACUCACUUUUUAAUUUUUAUUUUAAGUACAACUAGCUUCAUUUAUCCUAAACUAUUACAUUUCCUGUUCUCCUGCUUGUCUUUGUCAAUAGUGAGAGCAACACUUAAGUGCCAUGUCACAGAAGUAGAAGGGAUAGCUGUUCCCAGCUUUAGAGAAGUACAGGCUCAGGUGUCCAUUUUGCUUAUUAAUAAGGAAGGAAAAAGUUCUGAGUGCCAAACACUAGCAAGACACUGCUUUUGAAAGAUGGUAUAACCUUAUGGUCAGCUUAGCAUUUUUUUCACUAAGAAUGUAUUUUCUUUUAACAAAAUAAAAAUGUUCUCAUUGCAUUCCAAACAAUUUUAUAUGGGCACUUAAAGCUCACUGUUUCUUGUAUAGAAAAUCUCUACAGCUAGAAGGGAGAAACAGAAGAAAAGUCCACUGGGUUUAUUUUAGCUUCAAAUGUAAAAUGGUUAUCAUUUAAAAAUAAGUGAAAUCAAACUGUGCUCUCUACAGAUUUAAUUUCACUUAAUUACAUUAAUAAUAGAUUGUCAUUAUCAAGUUAUUGUUAUUUUGCUUUGCAGAACCAGAAAACAGUUACCAAAGGAUUGUUAGAUUUCAGUCCAUGCCGCUGGACAGGAAGUGCUGACUGUGGGGUGACCCCUGGGCACAUUCACCACUCAGUAACAAAUCCCCAUCGACAGCGAUGCUCACACUAGGAGGCGUGCAGUGCCCCCAGUGACUGCAGUCAUCUCUAAGAGAAGCCUAAGGAGCCUCAAGAGAAGGAAAUGCACACAGACAACCCCUCCCCACCUCUCCACACUGUAGCGUUAUUAUGUGUAAUUACUGUAUUGCUGGGUGCAUUCCUACCUCUCUUCACAGUGGAUAUUUUACAGCAUGAUGAGGUUUUGGAGACCUUUGAAGUCACACCACUUUUCCUAUGAGCAAACUCGCGUUACGUGGACGUGUUCUUUUGGACCUGAAGGACAGUCACACCCUUUGUUCACCAGCAGGAUAUGGAGUUCUGGGCUCUUCCCCUGCCAAGCAGGCCUUCCAUUUACUGCUAGCACCAUCACAAGUUCCCUCCCAGCCCUCAGCCCUCCCUGACUCGUGGCAAGCACCAGGCAGGAGAAACGUUUUGUCCAAUACUUGUUUCAAUAAUCACCUGCAGGGGUUUUUAACUAGAAAAUUUCUCCUGAAAAUAAAAAAAAAGAAAAAAAAAAAAAAAGAAAAAAAAAUCCCUAUUCUACAGUUUCAAAGUGCAGAUGAGCUUUUGCAUAUCUUUAUGUUAAGUCUGAAGUGAGUGAGACUGAAAAUAAUAAGCCUGUGACACAGAGCAGUUUUUAACUAACAGUUUUGAUGGAGUAGAAAAGACGUUCCUCUCCCUGAUGUUCCUUUUAACACAGAUGUCUGCAAUUCAGCUGCACAGAUCAAUGCCGUGCAACACAUUUGUUUCUUCCAUAUUUGGCUUUGUUGUAGAAGCAGUGUCACACUUAGUUCUUGUGCAAUGAGCUCUAUGCACAGACCCACAGUGUAACUGUGACAUUGUAAUUGCUAUCAGUACAGCUGCCACACAAUAAACAAAUCGGGACUUUACACUCCGAGUAUUAUGAAGGAGCUUAGCACCUGCCAGUUGUUGUAGCUACAAGGGGACAGCUGGGAAAACAUGAGAAGAAUUCAAUGAAUGUGCAGGAAAACUUCCUGAUUCCUUCAGCUAGUGAAGGCUGUAAAGAUAGAUUGUUACAGUUAAUAGCAGUGAUGUUCUGUUAGACAGAACCUCACAAACCCGUGUUUUAGGUGAGACAAAGAAGGUCAGGGACGCAGGAGGGAAGUUAGUCCUUUUGGCACUGAAGUAUUUAUGUGAAUCUACCUUCAAUGCGUUACUGAAAUAAGGAGUUUCAUUGUGCUGUUGUGAUGUGCUGCAAUUUGAGUGUAUAAAACUGCAUUUUUGAGUGUACAGCUUUGUUUUUCCUAACUUUUCUUCCUGGUAUAAUUUAAAAUAGGUGUCUAGGAAAGAAAGACACGGCAAUUGCACACUGCAGAAUGACAAACUGUACAUUCAGGUCACGUUCCUCAAUUCUUGUCGCCAAAUCUGAAGGACUACGAGCUACAAGAAAGUUGGGGAAUUUCAAAAUUAGGAAAAAAAGUGGAUUUAGAGCAACUUAUCUUUUAUUUACAAUAAUUGUGCUGUGAAUGCAAUAUAUUCUUCUACUUUCUCAUAUUAAGUUAUUCUGUAUUACAGUGUUCCAGGGAGCUUUCCACCGCGUGUGAAAUACACAGACACGGCACGGAAGUUUUGAAUAUCUGGAAUAUCCAGCUUUCCAUUUCCUUCUCGCCUCCUUCUUCUGCACCAAUCUCACUCUACGGAAGAAAGCACUUGUUCUUACUGCUGGUAACAGGGAGACCAUGUUCUGUGUUUCCUUAUGAGAAGGAAGGACUGGUGGUGGUUUCGAUACGCAUCUUUACGUAGCGCUGGCAGUAAGCCUACUGUAGGUCACCCAGCAGGUUUGGGUUUGAACUUUAGAAUGUCUGGAAAUGACCUUCCAGUAAGCACUAUUCAUAAAUUACAAAGAUUACUGUAUUUUAGCCAUCUUAGGCACAUAGGCUUUCAUAAGUAAGUGUAAGAACUUUAAUGCAACACAACUCAAUUUAGAAUAAUACACUAUUUUUCAUCUGACACCACUGAAGGUGACAUUGCUACAGGAAAGAGCUGAAACACUGAUUCUUGCCUUAUUGCCCUGUUCAGUCUUCUGAAGACUGAUUUUAAUAAGAAGUGUAUCUGCAAAAAACACAGGUUGCUAUGCUAGCUAUCAGGGAAAGGGGAAAAGGGACAAGUCUUCUAAUAGCUCCUUUUACAGCUGAAGAGUAGCUGCUGGCCAAUGGGUGGAACACAGGGUCAAUGGAAGAAGCAUCCAUAUUAAAAACCGAAGAAAAAGCAGAUCAGCAAAUUAUUCGUGACACAUUUCUGCUGUAGGUGACAGGUAAGAAAACAGCACUGUGGAUUUCUGAUGACUGUAAAGCCUUGCCUUCCCAUCCCCAAGCCAGGCAUCCCAAUUGUGGUCAAAACAGGUAAGUCGUGGGGCUUUUUGUUUGUUUGCUUUCACACAGAUUAGCUUCAGGUGUUAGUUUCUGUUCUUUGGAUGUUUCGAUUUUUAUUACACAAAUUAAAACACUUAAAUUUGCUGGCUGUCCAAAGCCCUCGGUACUGGAAAUCCAGACAAUGGUACCUCAGCUUGUACUCAACUAUGAAAGCAUUCCACUUAAGAAAAUGUAAAUGAUCUCUCACUGAUGCCUCCCACAUUCUCCCACCUUUAUCUCAACAUGAAGUAUUCUAUCAGAGAGCCUGCAAGAAGAAAUCUAGACUUGCUGUCUGGAUUUUUCUCGCAGUAACGGUUUAAAUAGGUGAUGAAAAUGCAGUCUUAGAGGCCUGAUCCUGGAGAAGGCAUGACUUUCUCAACACAAAAUACUUAGGAAGAAUUAUAGCUGUAUGGAGAACAUAAUUAAACCCCCCAACAUGUAUUUUCAAGCACAAUUUUGCGUCGCCCCAUAGUACGAAAGAUACAGAUUUAAUCUCUGCUCACUGAUGCUUUCAAACACGCAGACAGUAUCUCACAGUCAGACAGAUCUCAACAGACAGAUUACCUGCAUGGAUUUUACCAACUUACAGAAAUUGUAAUUAUGCUUUUCCUGAUGUUUUUAUUAGGUUGACUGGUUAAUACUUAUAACUUGCUCUUGAUUUUGUUCUACCGCUUGAAAUCAGCAACUCUGUUUCCUGUAAACAGCUUGCAAAGCAAACACAGAAAGCUACAUGAGGCUGUUUGCUUUUGCACUGGGAGCGGCAGAACAGCAAACAACGCUGAACACAGAAUGUUAACAGACUCCCAGAAGUGGUUUCAGAACAAAUGGUAAAAAUGUACGCAGGCACAGAGAGCUGCGGUCACCUCUCAAAGAGAGGCCAUCCCUCACAUCACCUGCAGAAACACCGAGAAGAAAAUUGCUAAAAACAAUCCUUUAAAGUUAAGAGUAAUGGAAGCGGCCAGUGUCACACCAUUGAAAAUGUCCUACAUUACCCUUAACUGAAAGUGCAGACUGCUCAUAAUAGAAGGACAAUUUAUCCAGUUAUUUUUGUCAAAAAGCAAAUGAAGCCUUUAAGCAACGUUUCCUCUUUAUAGUUCAGUUUGUACUUAUAUUUUUGUCAGAAGUAUUACUCAUACUUUGGUGACAGUUUUACUUUUGUAGACUGAGCAAUAUCAUUUCAAUGCUAGCUAAAGGAGUACAAAACAAAGUGCUAAAUUUUUCAGAAAUUCAGAAUAUAUUCUCAGGAAAGUAUGGAACUUUUAGUACAUUCUUGUUUAUAGCAGAAAUGCUGAGUCGUGGCCUGAAGCAGUGAUGGAGCACCUGGUGGGAAGGCAGGGCAGCCCAGGGAGCUCAGGUGCAUGCAAUGCAAUGCACUGAAUGAUGGAAGGGUGGAACCAGGAUCCACCCCUUCCCCACCCUCAUUUAAGGGCUGGCAGUGGAGGUGAGGGUCUCACUGGAAAUCCCUGCAUACGUGAGGCCUUCUGAAGGUAAGCAGCUUCUUUCUUUAUGCCUGUGCCCACAGCUGUUGUAUUUAAGCAAACCUUCACUUGCUGCAGCCUAGGACCUUGCUGCCCUGCUGUCAUUGCUGUGCUUCCCAUUGUGUUAUAGCAUUACAGUGUUCAUGUAAAAUUAAUCCAUCUUUGACUCUCCAUUUCCUCAUUCAAAAACUGAACUAGAAUAUUAAUAUCUACUAUCUGAGAACUUCUAUUGAUGUUCUUGAUUGAUCUGGUGUGAGUGGCCUGAGAAAUAACGUGUUUUAAAGCAGUGUAAUCCCACCUGGCUAUGUACAAUGCUCUUUUUCCAGUACCUCUCUACUUUAGAUCAUUUUUAUGAAAAGUCACCAGGAAAACAAAACAAAGUUUAUAUUUUGAUGUAGUUUAAAAAAAAAUGAUUACAAGCCCACUUACCUAACUCUUUGGAAACAGGCGAAUCUGCUGAUAUAUCCCCAAUCUUUGCAAGGCUGUCGUAGUAUGAUCUUCCAGCCACUACCAUAGCUUAAAGGGAGAAAAAAACAAAACACAAAAGCUGAAAUAUUUUCUUCUUUCAUUAAUUUAUGGCACUAUGAAAUAUUAGAAUCCAGGACACAUAGUAUGCCAAAAAGGAAAUCCUACUGUUGGGAAAACUUACUCAAGUCCCUGUGCUAUCUGCUAAGUUGUGAAGCCAGGUGUCAGCAAGACAGGGCUCCAAAGCACUGAAGCUGCAGCCUGUUACUUAGUUCCAGCUUUCCCAUUCAGGUGCACAUGCCUGAAUUCACACUCGGACUCUCACUUUUUUUUCCCCUCUCCAGGACAAUUUCUCCCCCAUCCCACAAUUUUGUUUAUCAUUCAAUUCUAUCUUUACAGGAAAAAAAAAUAGGUGUUUAUUACAUAUCGCUGAGGAUUCAAUUAUUUGCAGUUAAUCAUUUCUUAGUUACAGCCAACUUAAACAGCAAAGCUUGCUUUGCCAGAGUGAACAAAACAUGACCCUACCUCCAGUGAGGACAGCAGUGAGAAACAGGUUCCCCUGCACCAUGCAGUGCCUGCCUUGUGUGGCCAUGGUAUCUAAAAAUGAUCUGCAUUCUACAAAUGUAAGACGUUAUGAGGAAAAAACUGCCAAGGCUUUACUGGAAAUAGCAGUGAAGAAUACUGAUUGCAGUAUAUCUUUAAAUUUUGGGGGGAUAGUAGUUAAUUUUUUACCCAGAGUGCAAGCUAAGCAGAUGCUGGCUGUUGACUUUAGAAUAGCCUUUUCUGGGGAGGGAUGGCAUUGCCAACGUAAGUAUUUUAGAUACCUUUUUACUAGCAGAGGUGGCCUUUUUGGUUACCCAACAGCAUGUUUGCUGAGAAGCCACCAACUCUUCCAAAUGAAAUGGUUCUUCCUGAAGCCCCGUUACAUUGGAUGAAAGCAACUUCCCUCAGGGAUGCCACGUCCAAACUUUCUGAACAGAGCUGCGCUGCUGCUGAUAGGGCUGCCAUGCAUUCACAAAGAGCUUAUGUCAUUCCAACUCCACCUAUCUAAUGUUUUCUCAAGAUAGCCCCGAGUCAAUCUCAUCUCCUAGCAUCGGUGCUAAGAAAGGAAGAAAAUGUGAUUCAUACUAACAUGUAUGAGAGCCCCAAGAGCUCUUCCUAGCAGUUGUUGGAAUCGCUUACAUAAAAUGAAGCAUUGAUACUAGAUAUGUUUCUCAACUAGGCUCAAAGAGGUAGACCAUAAAACCUAUCAGCCUCUCUCCAGGACUGCUGUACACUGCUGUACCGUGAAUUACUGACGAUAAAUUGAUUCCAAUUAAAAAAGGGAAGGAAAAAAAGGCAAUAUAACUUAUCAAUGGAAAAGAAUGAAAAGUAGCUGCUCUCGAGAACAGGUGUAACUUUCAGCCCAACAUGAAAACUUGCUAUUUCUGGUACUGCUUAUAAUGGGUGAACUUAUUUGCUAAUGAAUGAGCUUAGGUUUUACUGCAAACAAAUCAACAUUCCCUUAUUUUCAUCUCCAGCAGGCUUUGGUUUUUAUCUUUUCCUCAAGUCUGGUCUAAAAUUUGCAUGAAGAGAAAUUUCAAUGUCUGUUUGGCUAUGCAUGACUUCUGUAGUAUCACAUUUCUCAGAGUACUACCUUACACAUAGGGGAAAGACACAUCACAGGCUUUAAGGAGGCAAAAUGGGGAGAUUUCACAGUGCUUUAAUAUGGUAUCAAGCAGCUCAACAGGUCUGUGGAAGUGAGGAAGAGCAAGCUCCAACAGGUCCUACAGUGCAAGCUUUGGGAAUCUAGGGCCCAGGCUUGGAAAGCAUUUUUUUUUAUCUAAACAGCUUCUCAGAAGUCAAUAAUGAAAGUGUAUAAUGAAUGCCCUUAGAUCCAAAUGGAUGGAUUCUGAUUUUUGACUCCAGUAGGAAGAUAGCUUCAGAUGGAGCUGGGUCAGAAGGAAAAAUUAAUCCGUUCCUGGAACUCGUGCCUGCUCAAAUUCCUCUGUUCAUGAGCUUAUUUACUUGGGCAGUGCAAUGUGUGCAGUGGAGGAGGAACAGAGGUAAGGAUGUGAAUUCUUCUUUAGAUCUAUUACAAUUUUAGUACAGGUUACUUUCUGGUUACUUUAUGUUCAGGGUUAUUGGUGUGUUUGUUGUUUUUGUUUUGUUUUUUUGUGGAAAGCCUUUGAGAUGCAGCUUUUGCAGAACACCACUUGAAUUCAGCCAAAAUCCAACUUCCCCUCCCAAUUAAAAAAAGACAUGUUUGUGCCUUUUUUAAAUAAAUGCAUGAAGUUCAGUGUGGAAUUUAAGCUUAUACACAGACCUCAUAACCAACAUGAGAAUUAAUCAAAUGAAAAUUAAGGGCUGUUACUGAAAUGAACAUUCUGAAGACUUACCAUUAACAGCUUUCUCGUAAUUCUUCCCGAGAUUUAUUAAAUUCCGCAGUCCUGGAUUGAAUUGUUCCAUUACAUUCUAGGAAACAGAAAGUUCAUGUUACAGCCAAGGAAGUCAGCAGUGGAGAAAUGCAUUUGUCUCAGUGCCACUUGGUUUUGCACAGCAUGUGUCUGAAAAGUCUGUGGAUGGGUGACAAGUAGAAGAGUUGGAGGGAGAAAUGAGUUCAUGGUGGAUGGAAAUGGAGCAUUCAUGGUCAACGAAUUCUAGAAGAAUUGGGCUUAAGUGGGGCUCAAGAGGAAUCCAGUUGUUUAUAACAUAGAAGGAUGCUGAGUAUGAAAGGAAAGUUUGCAUAGAUCUUCCUUGUAUGAGAGGCGAUGGAAAAAGAACCACGGAAGAAAAGGGUUCUCCACCAAGUGUUUUCUGAAGUCAGAAGUUAACAAGAAUUUUCUGAUAACGGUGCAAGAUUUGAGCGCUGCAGCCCCUUCCCCCCAUAUAAAUAAAUGUGGGGAAAAGGGGGAGAAAAAAAAUAACCCGAUACCUGAUUAGAGAAGGCUAAGAGGACUUUUGUUUUGUUUUAACACAUCAAAACAAGCUGCAAAGUCCUCCAAGUUACAGGUAGCAUUUAAAGGAAGCAGUUCUCUCUGCUCCGGUUUGGAACUGCUGCUUUUUAUUGGGAGAGUCGUAGUUCUUGGAGAGGUGCAGUGAAAAUGUGGCCCUGUUUAAAAUGGCUCUGAAGAUUCUAGACCUUCUUUUCCCAGACCUUUCCUAACAGAACUGCAGCCAUGGAAUCACUCUGGGGUUUUGUAAGAUCAUGAGAUCCUUCAAGAAGGCGUCCUGUCAUUCUGGCUGCUCUUAUGACACUUUGUAAUGGCACAGCUCCUGUCCCUCUGGCACCAUUCGCACAGCAGGACUUUCAAGUUUGAGGAAUUCAAAACAAACAUUUUGUUUACAAGAAAUAAAAGACACACAACCAGUCAAAUAGUAUCAAGCCGCUGUCUGUUCCUCAACUAACAGAACGUAAUUAUUUCUAUUUGCUGCAUGCAUGGACACAGAAAGCACAGGAAUGCCUUCACAUGUGUUUUAUUUUCGGAGAGGUCAUUCAGAUUGAACUUCACUGUUUUGAUUGUAGGGCCAUACGUGAUGAACUCCUGUCAGUGUUACAAAGCAAAGCAAAGAGAUUCAGAUUCCACCAGUAAUGUUUUGACAGGUUGAGUAAAACACAUCAGAAAUGUACAGAAAGGGGAAAAUGCGAAAGAAACAAUGAAAAUUACGUGUACUGAAUGCUUUCAGAAUGAAAAAAGGUUUUCUCUGACUUUUUCCGGGUGUGAGCUUUAUGUGAAAUAAUGCUUUCAGGUAUUUACUUCCUAAUCACAUUAUGUAUUUCAUUGGCACCUGCAUGUGUAAUAUUGCUGGGUCUGGAUGACGUUACAGACUGACACACCUCAGGCUGAUGGCACUGAGGGACAACAUCCCCUAAGGAAGGGCUUCAGUACUGAUUUAAUGCCCACAGUGUUGCUUCCCCCAGCUAGAGAGCUGUUCUGUCAACAUAUGUUGUCAUUCUGUGAAUGGUUACAAAGCUUCUAGGUGCUGAUAAUAUACAUGACAUCAGCAGUGGACAUGCAGUGCCAGUAAUUAGCUCCGUUGCCUUUGUUUGUACAAAUUUAAAGCAACGGGAAUUGCUUUCUUGUCACUGAAUUCCUACCUAUCCAAACACAAUCACUGCAAGCGAACUUCCCUGUUGUCCCCAGGCCCUCGGUCUGUGUUAACUCACAAACCACAUCCACAAAUGGUUUGGGAAUGUGUGUUUCAGGUUGGGCCAACACUGCCAACGGCCAUUCUGACAACUUUCAAGCUCCAGCAUCUGGGAGCACUUCUCCCAUCCCAGCUGCUUAACUGGCUACUGGAAAUGUGCUGCUGUGCCAGAAUGGACCUCUGGAGAUCAUCUGGUCCAACCCCGGGUGCUUCUGAUCUAUGGGGUGCUUCUUCCUCUUACCACCUUUCUGCUUUUCCUUCCCAGCAGCGUGCUAAGGAAGAUGUCUGCUGGCAUAUGGAGCGGAUGAAUCACGAGAAUAGAAUGGACAAAUCGUGGAACUGUUUUAGGAUAGAGAGCCCUGUGUUCCGAGGAUCCGGGGGAGGAGAAGGGCGUACAUGGAAAAUGUGCAUACACACGGCAGUUCUCAUUUAGGAGGAAGUGGAAAAAAACCCAGCAAGAAUGCCCUCAGCAGCUCCCCGCCCUGCAGCCCAGCCCCGCAGAUCUAUUUUCAGUGGCUGCAUUGAGGCACGGCAGGCAGUCAUAGCGCAGAUCGGCGGCACUGCGGAAACACGGCACGGCUCAGCAGAGCUCCCAGCUCCGCAGUCGCAGCUGCUCUGUGUGUGAAACUGCUGGGAACGAUGAAGAAACGCCGUGUGGCUCCGUGCCUCCGGUGGCUGGAAGCACACAGCUCAAGGACCUUUUCUCUGCUAGACCAGGCGGUCUCUGGAAGUUUUUCAGUCCCUGUGCUGCCACAGUGGCUUGUUGUUAGCAGAAGUAUCUGACCAGUUUCUAGACACGAAUGCCUCAGAAUCAGUGAAAAGUUUUGCAAUGGAAAUUUCUCUGGUAAUUGCUUGGUUUAACAUGGGGCAUGCUUAGCUGGCCCUCCCAGCACUGCACAGGGCUCAGCUCUUUCCUCCUAAGGGUUUGUGUUUGACAGACAUAAACCUUUUCUCCCCUCUCCCCGCUGGAAACAAUCUAAUGAAAUAAUUUUUAGUUGAUUUUUUUUCUUCUCCUCAGCAUUACAGAGAAGAAUACAGGAAGGACAAUUGUUUUGUCCUUACUAGAGGCUGGAUUCCGAGAGCAAACAAAACCUGACCUUGCUUCCAGAGCUCACUCUUUACACAGCUGAGUGCUGCUGUCUUCAAAGCAGUGCCAUUCCAGGCUGCAAUGUCCAGAGCACUUUUUCAGAACAGAACUCCCUGUUCAGCAGAUUGGUAAUGCCAAGAUAUUUUACAUCAGAGCUUUUCAACCCGGGCCAUUCUAUGAUUCUAUGAUCAGUUCAAA
Tympanuchus pallidicinctus (lesser prairie-chicken) is the source of this 12070-nucleotide long non-coding RNA. RefSeq lists it as uncharacterized. The record is from RefSeq and is a predicted model, not a curated record. NCBI's taxonomy places the organism in Eukaryota, Metazoa, Chordata, Aves, Galliformes, Phasianidae. The transcript has 5 exons.